Molecule: small nuclear RNA, 103 nt
Organism: Nannospalax galili (Upper Galilee mountains blind mole rat)
Lineage: Eukaryota; Metazoa; Chordata; Mammalia; Rodentia; Spalacidae
Source: Ensembl
UGGCUCCCAAAGCACAUAUACUAGCCCUUUAAUGAUAAUGAGAAAAUCAGUAUGCCUCCUGCACAAGAAUGACACACACAUUCAUGAAUCAUCCCUAUUUUAG